GGUUGUGGCUCAUCGGUAGAGUGCUUGCCUGGCAUGUGGGAGGCCCUGGGUUUGAUCCUCAGCACCA
Molecule: transfer RNA, 67 nt
Filed under: Marmota monax (woodchuck)
Lineage: Eukaryota; Metazoa; Chordata; Mammalia; Rodentia; Sciuridae
Description: tRNA.Ala
Source: RNAcentral